GUCGAGAAUCAUUCACAAUGGGGGAAACCCUGAUGGUGUGACGCCGCGUGGAGGAUGAAGGUCUUCGGAUUGUAAACUCCUGUCAUGUGGGAGUAAAGCCGGGUGUUAAAUGCAUGCCGGUCUGAGAGUACCACAAGAGGAAGGGACGGCUAACUCUGUGCCAGCAGCCGCGGUAAUACAGAGGUCCCAAGCGUUGUUCGGAAUCACUGGGCGUAAAGGGUGCGUAGGCGGCGCGGAAAGUCAGGGGUGAAAUCCCGGAGCUCAACUCCGGAACUGCCUUUGAGACGCCCGCGCUUGAGAACUGGAGGGGAGACCGGAAUUCACGGUGGAGCAGUGAAAUGCGUGGAUAUCGUGAGGAACACUAGUGGCGAAGGCGGGUCUCUGGACAGUAUCUGACGCUGAGGCACGAAGGCCAGGGGAGCGAACGGGAUUAGAAACCCGUGUAGUCC
RNAcentral lists this ribosomal RNA (449 nucleotides) under uncultured bacterium. RNAcentral's name for it is "partial 16S ribosomal RNA". It matches the Rfam family "Bacterial small subunit ribosomal RNA", at positions 354 to 796 of the family's 1533-position model. The record is from RNAcentral.